GUGACGAUAGCCUAGGAGAUACACCUGUACCCAUGCCGAACACAGAAGUUAAGCCCUAGAACGCCGGAAGUAGUUGGGGGUUGCCCCCGUGUGAGAUAGGGAAGUC
This 106-nucleotide ribosomal RNA is filed under the name Streptococcus pneumoniae 5787-06. Lineage: Bacteria; Bacillati; Bacillota; Bacilli; Lactobacillales; Streptococcaceae. The record is from RNAcentral.